GACGAACGCUGGCGGCGUGCCUAAUACAUGCAAGUCGAACGCAUUGGGGACGGGUGAGUAACCCGUGGGUAACCUCCCAUCAGAGGGGGUAACACUUGGAGACAGGUGCUAAACCGAUACUGAUGGAUGGACCCGCGGUGCAUGAGCUAGUUGGGGAGGUAACGGCUCACCAAGGCGACGAUGCAUAGCCGAACGGCGAGGCGGAUCGCCCACACGGGGAGUGAGACAGGGCCCAGACUCCUACGGCAGGCAGCAGUCGGGAAUCUGAGGCAAUGGACGGGAGUCUGACCCAGCCACGCCGCGUGAGUGAACAAUGUUUCCGGUUCGUAAAGAUCGCUUGUUGGAGGAGCGGUAUCGACCCAGAAAGCCCCGGCUAACUACGUGCCAGCAGCCGCGGUAAUUC
Molecule: ribosomal RNA, 403 nt
Filed under: uncultured bacterium
Lineage: Bacteria
Description: partial 16S ribosomal RNA
Rfam family: Bacterial small subunit ribosomal RNA
Source: RNAcentral